This 497-nucleotide ribosomal RNA is filed under the name uncultured bacterium. Its description in RNAcentral is "partial 16S ribosomal RNA". It matches the Rfam family "Bacterial small subunit ribosomal RNA", at positions 28 to 507 of the family's 1533-position model. The record is from RNAcentral.
GAUGAACGCUGGCGGCGUGCCUAAUACAUGCAAGUCGAGCGAACAGAUGAGGAGCUUGCUCCUCUGACGUUAGCGGCGGACGGGUGAGUAACACGUGGAUAACCUACCUAUAAGACUGGGAUAACUUCGGGAAACCGGAGCUAAUACCGGAUAAUAUAUUGAACCGCAUGGUUCAAUAGUGAAAGACGGUUUUGCUGUCACUUAUAGAUGGAUCCGCGCCGCAUUAGCUAGUUGGUAAGGUAACGGCUUACCAAGGCAACGAUGCGUAGCCGACCUGAGAGGGUGAUCGGCCACACUGGAACUGAGACACGGUCCAGACUCCUACGGGAGGCAGCAGUAGGGAAUCUUCCGCAAUGGGCGAAAGCCUGACGGAGCAACGCCGCGUGAGUGAUGAAGGUCUUCGGAUCGUAAAACUCUGUUAUUAGGGAAGAACAAAUGUGUAAGUAACUAUGCACGUCUUAACGGUACCUAAUCAGAAAGCCACGGCUAACUACGUG